RNAcentral lists this ribosomal RNA (426 nucleotides) under uncultured bacterium. RNAcentral describes it as "bacterial SSU rRNA". It matches the Rfam family "Bacterial small subunit ribosomal RNA", at positions 354 to 796 of the family's 1533-position model. The record is from RNAcentral.
GUGAGGAAUUUUCCGCAAUGGGCGAAAGCCUGACGGAGCAAUGCCGCGUGAAGGAUGAAGGCCUAUGGGUUGUAAACUUCUUUUCUCAGAAAAGAAUUAUGACGGUAUCUGAGGAAUAAGCAUCGGCUAACUCUGUGCCAGCAGCCGCGGUAAGACAGAGGAUGCAAGCGUUAUCCGGAAUGAUUGGGCGUAAAGCGUCUGUAGGUUGUUUAAAAAGUAUUCUGUAAAAGGUUAGGGCUUAACCCUAGAUAGGCAGAAUAAACUUUUAAGCUAGAGUUGAGUAGAGGCAGAAGGAAUUCCCUGUGGAGCGGUGAAAUGCGUAGAUAUCGGGAGGAACACCAAAGGCGAAGGCACUCUGCUGGGCCAAUACUAACACUGAGAGACGAAAGCGAGGGGAGCAAAUGGGAUUAGAUACCCUUGUAGUCC